Molecule: non-coding RNA, 45 nt
Organism: Schistosoma haematobium
Lineage: Eukaryota; Metazoa; Platyhelminthes; Trematoda; Strigeidida; Schistosomatidae
Source: Rfam
AUCCAGUUGACAAGUCCCAAAUAGGAUGAAAUACACAUCCUGGAU